Molecule: ribosomal RNA, 621 nt
Filed under: Escherichia coli
Lineage: Bacteria; Pseudomonadati; Pseudomonadota; Gammaproteobacteria; Enterobacterales; Enterobacteriaceae
Also listed under: 3 other names
Description: bacterial LSU rRNA
Rfam family: Bacterial large subunit ribosomal RNA
Source: RNAcentral
GUGACUGCGUACCUUUUGUAUAAUGGGUCAGCGACUUAUAUUCUGUAGCAAGGUUAACCGAAUAGGGGAGCCGAAGGGAAACCGAGUCUUAACUGGGCGUUAAGUUGCAGGGUAUAGACCCGAAACCCGGUGAUCUAGCCAUGGGCAGGUUGAAGGUUGGGUAACACUAACUGGAGGACCGAACCGACUAAUGUUGAAAAAUUAGCGGAUGACUUGUGGCUGGGGGUGAAAGGCCAAUCAAACCGGGAGAUAGCUGGUUCUCCCCGAAAGCUAUUUAGGUAGCGCCUCGUGAAUUCAUCUCCGGGGGUAGAGCACUGUUUCGGCAAGGGGGUCAUCCCGACUUACCAACCCGAUGCAAACUGCGAAUACCGGAGAAUGUUAUCACGGGAGACACACGGCGGGUGCUAACGUCCGUCGUGAAGAGGGAAACAACCCAGACCGCCAGCUAAGGUCCCAAAGUCAUGGUUAAGUGGGAAACGAUGUGGGAAGGCCCAGACAGCCAGGAUGUUGGCUUAGAAGCAGCCAUCAUUUAAAGAAAGCGUAAUAGCUCACUGGUCGAGUCGGCCUGCGCGGAAGAUGUAACGGGGCUAAACCAUGCACCGAAGCUGCGGCAGCGACGCU